CUGCCCUUCCCCCAUAGGCUUUUCCCUAUAUAAUCUAUUCAUUCUGACUACCUGCGCCUUUUGUACCUUUGGUUCCUGGCUGCUACACCUGGUUCCCCUCUCUACCCUCUCCCGGCAUGCCCCAACUCAGUCUGAUCAUGUCUACUGUGGACUCUUACAGGCGGCUCUGACUCUGCCUAUGCUCGCCCCACAUAUCUAUAAUAAACUUCCUCCUUCAUGAUACCUAGGAGCAGUCAUGUCCUUUCUUUUCCAAUUUGUUUCUCCAGUCUGUAGUGACUUCAGAGCCUUCUGUCUACAGACUUUAAAAGUCAGCUGAUCCAGCACCACCAGUUGUAAGUACACGGGUUUCAAGCAUCUGAGCCUGUGUAAGACCCCAAGUUAACCUAUAAGCCCCACCCACCCAAGGACCAAGCAACUUCCUGGAAUGCUGGGAGUUGUAGUUCUUAGAAAGUAACAAAGCCUCAUGGGAAAACAUCAUGGCCUAUGGGUUUAUCCUUAUAAGCCCUUGCAAAACUCAGCUGGGAAUUCCAGGGAGCGGUCCUGACCAAAGCCCAUCCUGAUUCGGCGGAAAAACAUUGCCCGAGCCAGCGAUUACUCCUAUCGGAUAUUCAGGACUCUUUUUUUUUUCCUGGUAGCUUUUCCCUUGAUACAGCACAAUGCAGAGAAGAUGAGACCAGCUCUCACACACAAUAGAGCUUUAAAAUAUCUAACAACGA
Molecule: non-coding RNA, 716 nt
Organism: Rattus norvegicus (Norway rat)
Lineage: Eukaryota; Metazoa; Chordata; Mammalia; Rodentia; Muridae
Source: RefSeq, a predicted model, not a curated record